CGCGUAGGAAUCUACCCAGUAGUGGGGGACAACUUGGGGAAACCCAAGCUAAUACCGCAUACGCCCUACGGGGGAAAGCGGGGGACCUUCGGGCCUCUUGCCUUUAGAUUAGCCCAAGUGAGAUUAGCUAGUAGGUGGGGUAAUGGCUCACCUAGGCGACGAUCUCUAGCUGGUUUGAGAGGAUGAUCAGCCACACUGGGACUGAGACACGGCCCAGACUCCUACGGGAGGCAGCAGUGGGGAAUAUUGCACAAUGGGGGAAACCCUGAUGCAGCCAUGCCGCGUGUGUGAAGAAGGCCU
RNAcentral lists this ribosomal RNA (300 nucleotides) under uncultured Gammaproteobacteria bacterium. RNAcentral describes it as "bacterial SSU rRNA". It matches the Rfam family "Bacterial small subunit ribosomal RNA", at positions 114 to 417 of the family's 1533-position model. The record is from RNAcentral. Lineage: Bacteria; Pseudomonadati; Pseudomonadota; Gammaproteobacteria.